GACGAACGCUGGCGGCGUGCUUAACACAUGCAAGUCGAACGGAAAGGCGCUGCUCUUGGUGGGUUCGCGAGUGGCGAACGGGUGAGUAACACGUGUGUAACCUGCCCUGGACUUUGGGAUAACUUCACGGAACUGGGGCGAAUACCGGAUAGGAGCUCCUGCGGCAGGUUGUGGGUUGGAAAGUUUCGGCGGUGCGGGAGGUGCGCGCGGCUUAUCCGCUUGUUGGGGUGGUAGUGGAUGACAAGGGCUUUGAAGGGUAGCCUGCCUGGGAGGGUUACCCGGCACAUUGGGCCUGAGGUAGGGACCAGACUGCAACGGGCGGCAGCGGUGGAAGACAUUGCCCAACGGGCGGCAGCCUGAUGCAACAACUCCGCGUGCGGGAUGACGGCCUUCGGGUUGUAAACCGCUUUCGCCUGAGACGAAGCGGGAGUGACGGUAACGGGUAAGGAAGCACCGGCUAACUACGUG
RNAcentral lists this ribosomal RNA (468 nucleotides) under uncultured bacterium. RNAcentral describes it as "partial 16S ribosomal RNA". It matches the Rfam family "Bacterial small subunit ribosomal RNA", at positions 28 to 507 of the family's 1533-position model. The record is from RNAcentral.